This 59-nucleotide microRNA precursor is filed under the name Sphenodon punctatus (tuatara). RNAcentral describes it as "Spt-Mir-33-P1_pre stem-loop". It matches the Rfam family "mir-33 microRNA precursor family", at positions 6 to 65 of the family's 69-position model. The record is from RNAcentral. Lineage: Eukaryota; Metazoa; Chordata; Lepidosauria; Sphenodontia; Sphenodontidae.
GUGCAUUGUGGUUGCAUUGCAUGUGUGGUUGAAGAGUGCAAUGCCCCUGCAGUGCAGCC